Molecule: long non-coding RNA, 1063 nt
Filed under: Brassica napus (rape)
Lineage: Eukaryota; Viridiplantae; Streptophyta; Magnoliopsida; Brassicales; Brassicaceae
Description: long non-coding RNA (BNAP_LNC023845)
Source: RNAcentral
UGGCUCUGUGCUCAAAUGUAGCAAUACGAAAGAUUUUAUUUAUUAUGUUACUAACUAAACCUUUUUUUUUUUGUCAACAUUGUUCAUUUCAUUGAACAGAAACCCAUAGAACAAACAUUACGAGUAUCGGGCUUAUCUACAUGGCCGAACAGAGAUAUAACAUAAUAAAUUAAACCAUUAAACCCAAUAUUGAAGAGGUGGGUGAUGUCUCAGAUUCUCGGUAAGCUUAAUUGCGACACGUGCAUUAACACAUGUUCUCCAUGCGAACACUAAUUACUCCGGCCGUCAAGAAAAACUUCACCACCGUAGACUCUUCCUCAACCGCCUUGUUCCUCUUUCUACUCCGUUGUUAUCAGCCCAUUUGUAACAACUCCUCCGUCUUUCGCUGUUCCUCCAUGAUUUAUUAUCUACCAUCUCUGGAUGUUAAAUCAAGGAUUGCUCGAUCAAAUCCAAGAGUAGACCCUUUAUUGGACCGUUCAAUGAACGCCAAUUUAUGCUGAAUCUCCUUUGAAUCGACCAAGAUUAGUCCAUCUUCUCUUCAUCCUUUCCUUAAAAGAGAGCUUCAUCCAAAGCCGAUCUCCGGCAAGCUUCUAGCUAGAUGAAGUCUGAUCUCUGCGGGAACGAAAUCAAAGCUUUCCUUUGAUGAAGAUAUUCAUCACGAGCAAACGAAAUUAAGAAUUAGAUCACGGAAGAGUAAAGAAACCGGAACAAAGCCCGAAUUUAUUUCUUUCAAUCGAUUUUCUGAGAAGAUAAGCUUUCAGUGUGCUCAGAAUCGAUUGAAACAUCACAUCAAAAUCGCCAACGCGAAGAGAGAUUCCGCUAACCGGAAAUUAAAAUCGCCAACGCGAAGAUCGAACAAAAAACAAAAAAAGUUUUGAUCUCAACCCCUGUGAAAGAUAAGGAUCAGUGAACAGUGGUUUGACCGUUUGAGAGAAAACUUUCCCUCUCUAGGAAAGAGAGAGUCUCUUUAUUAUUGGUCCGUUUUCACUUUAGAUGACAAAAACAAUUUUACCAAAAAAAAUAAAUACAAAAACAAAAUUAUAAAUCCCAAAAUUAUAAACGA